RNAcentral lists this ribosomal RNA (329 nucleotides) under uncultured eukaryote. RNAcentral's name for it is "partial 18S ribosomal RNA". It matches the Rfam family "Eukaryotic small subunit ribosomal RNA", at positions 1470 to 1796 of the family's 1831-position model. The record is from RNAcentral.
CCCUUAGAUGUUCUGGGCCGCACGCGCGCUACAAUGAUGAAUUCAACGAGUUUAUAACCUUGGUUGAAAAGCCUGGGUAAUCUUUUGAACUUUCGUCGUGAUGGGGCUAGACCCUUGCAAUUAUUGGUCUCCAACGAGGAAUUCCUAGUAAACGCAAGUCAUCAGCUUGUAUUGAUUACGUCCCUGCCCUUUGUACACACCGCCCGUCGCACCUACCGAUUGAAUGGUCCGGUGAAAUCUUCGGAUUGAGACUUUGAUUUCUUCACGGAAAACGCUGUUUUAAAAAGUUGAUUAAACCUUACCAUUUAGAGGAAGGUGAAGUCGUAACA